UUCCUACGGGGCGCAGCAGUGGGGGAUAUUGCACAAUGGGGGGAACCCUGAUGCAGCGACGCCGCGUGGGUGAAGGAGUGCUUCGGCAUGUAAAGCCCUAUCGGCAGGGAAGAAGCAAGACGGUACCUGACUAAGAAGCCCCGGCUAACUACGUGCCAGCAGCCGCGGUAAUACGUAGGGGGCGAGCGUUAUCCGGAUUUACUGGGUGUAAAGGGAGCGCAGGUGGCAAGGCAAGCCAGAAGUGAAAACCCGGGGCUUAACCCCGCGGAUUGCUUUUGGAACUGUCUGGCUGGAGUGCAGGAGGG
This 305-nucleotide ribosomal RNA is filed under the name uncultured bacterium. RNAcentral's name for it is "bacterial SSU rRNA". It matches the Rfam family "Bacterial small subunit ribosomal RNA", at positions 336 to 656 of the family's 1533-position model. The record is from RNAcentral.